AUGAUGUGUUUAAUUCGAUGCAACGCGAAAAACCUUACCCACCUUUGACAUGUACGGAAUCCUUUAGAGAUAGAGGAGUGCCCGAAAGGGAAUUGGAACACAGGUGCUGCAUGGCUGUCGUCAGCUCGUGUCGUGAGAUGUUGGGUUAAGUCCCGCAACGAGCGCAACCCUUAUCAUUAGUUGCUACGCAAGGGCACUCUAAUGAGACUGCCGGUGACAAACCGGAGGAAGGUGGGGAUGACGUCAAGUCCUCAUGGCCCUUAUGGGUAGGGCUUCACACGUCAUACAAUGGUCGGUACAGAGGGUUGCCAAGCCGCGAGGUGGAGCCAAUCCCAGAAAGCCGAUCGUAGUCCGGAUUGUUCUCUGCAACUCGAGAGCAUGAAGUCGGAAUCGCUAGUAAUCGCGGAUCAGCAUGUCGCGGUGAAUACGUUCCCGGGUCUU
This 441-nucleotide ribosomal RNA is filed under the name uncultured Thiobacillus sp. Its description in RNAcentral is "bacterial SSU rRNA". It matches the Rfam family "Bacterial small subunit ribosomal RNA", at positions 936 to 1382 of the family's 1533-position model. Lineage: Bacteria; Pseudomonadati; Pseudomonadota; Betaproteobacteria; Nitrosomonadales; Thiobacillaceae. The record is from RNAcentral.